UUAAGCGACUAAGCGUACACGGUGGAUGCCCUGGCAGUCAGAGGCGAUGAAGGACGUGCUAAUCUGCGAUAAGCGUCGGUAAGGUGAUAUGAACCGUUAUAACCGGCGAUUUCCGAAUGGGGAAACCCAGUGUGAUUCGUCACACUAUCAUUAACUGAAUCCAUAGGUUAAUGAGGCGAACCGGGGGAACUGAAACAUCUAAGUACCCCGAGGAAAAGAAAUCAACCGAGAUUCCCCCAGUAGCGGCGAGCGAACGGGGAGCAGCCCAGAGCCUGAAUCAGUGUGUGUGUUAGUGGAAGCGUCUGGAAAGGCGCGCGAUACAGGGUGACAGCCCCGUACACAAAAAUGCACAUACUGUGAGCUCGAUGAGUAGGGCGGGACACGUGGUAUCCUGUCUGAAUAUGGGGGGACCAUCCUCCAAGGCUAAAUACUCCUGACUGACCGAUAGUGAACCAGUACCGUGAGGGAAAGGCGAAAAGAACCCCGGCGAGGGGAGUGAAAAAGAACCUGAAACCGUGUACGUACAAGCAGUGGGAGCACAGAGCAAUCUGUGUGACUGCGUACCUUUUGUAUAAUGGGUCAGCGACUUAUAUUCUGUAGCAAGGUUAACCGAAUAGGGGAGCCGAAGGGAAACCGAGUCUUAACUGGGCGUUAAGUUGCAGGGUAUAGACCCGAAACCCGGUGAUCUAGCCAUGGGCAGGUUGAAGGUUGGGUAACACUAACUGGAGGACCGAACCGACUAAUGUUGAAAAAUUAGCGGAUGACUUGUGGCUGGGGGUGAAAGGCCAAUCAAACCGGGAGAUAGCUGGUUCUCCCCGAAAGCUAUUUAGGUAGCGCCUCGUGAAUUCAUCUCCGGGGGUAGAGCACUGUUUCGGCAAGGGGGUCAUCCCGACUUACCAACCCGAUGCAAACUGCGAAUACCGGAGAAUGUUAUCACGGGAGACACACGGCGGGUGCUAACGUCCGUCGUGAAGAGGGAAACAACCCAGACCGCCAGCUAAGGUCCCAAAGUCAUGGUUAAGUGGGAAACGAUGUGGGAAGGCCCAGACAGCCAGGAUGUUGGCUUAGAAGCAGCCAUCAUUUAAAGAAAGCGUAAUAGCUCACUGGUCGAGUCGGCCUGCGCGGAAGAUGUAACGGGGCUAAACCAUGCACCGAAGCUGCGGCAGCGACGCUGAUGCGUUGUUGGGUAGGGGAGCGUUCUGUAAGCCUGUGAAGGUGUACUGUGAGGUAUGCUGGAGGUAUCAGAAGUGCGAAUGCUGACAUAAGUAACGAUAAAGCGGGUGAAAAGCCCGCUCGCCGGAAGACCAAGGGUUCCUGUCCAACGUUAAUCGGGGCAGGGUGAGUCGACCCCUAAGGCGAGGCCGAAAGGCGUAGUCGAUGGGAAACAGGUUAAUAUUCCUGUACUUGGUGUUACUGCGAAGGGGGGACGGAGAAGGCUAUGUUGGCCGGGCGACGGUUGUCCCGGUUUAAGCGUGUAGGCUGGUUUUCCAGGCAAAUCCGGAAAAUCAAGGCUGAGGCGUGAUGACGAGGCACUACGGUGCUGAAGCAACAAAUGCCCUGCUUCCAGGAAAAGCCUCUAAGCAUCAGGUAACAUCAAAUCGUACCCCAAACCGACACAGGUGGUCAGGUAGAGAAUACCAAGGCGCUUGAGAGAACUCGGGUGAAGGAACUAGGCAAAAUGGUGCCGUAACUUCGGGAGAAGGCACGCUGAUAUGUAGGUGAAGUCCCUCGCGGAUGGAGCUGAAAUCAGUCGAAGAUACCAGCUGGCUGCAACUGUUUAUUAAAAACACAGCACUGUGCAAACACGAAAGUGGACGUAUACGGUGUGACGCCUGCCCGGUGCCGGAAGGUUAAUUGAUGGGGUCAGCGCAAGCGAAGCUCUUGAUCGAAGCCCCGGUAAACGGCGGCCGUAACUAUAACGGUCCUAAGGUAGCGAAAUUCCUUGUCGGGUAAGUUCCGACCUGCACGAAUGGCGUAAUGAUGGCCAGGCUGUCUCCACCCGAGACUCAGUGAAAUUGAACUCGCUGUGAAGAUGCAGUGUACCCGCGGCAAGACGGAAAGACCCCGUGAACCUUUACUAUAGCUUGACACUGAACAUUGAGCCUUGAUGUGUAGGAUAGGUGGGAGGCUUAGAAGUGUGGACGCCAGUCUGCAUGGAGCCGACCUUGAAAUACCACCCUUUAAUGUUUGAUGUUCUAACGUUGACCCGUGAUCCGGGUUGCGGACAGUGUCUGGUGGGUAGUUUGACUGGGGCGGUCUCCUCCUAAAGAGUAACGGAGGAGCACGAAGGUUGGCUAAUCCUGGUCGGACAUCAGGAGGUUAGUGCAAUGGCAUAAGCCAGCUUGACUGCGAGCGUGACGGCGCGAGCAGGUGCGAAAGCAGGUCAUAGUGAUCCGGUGGUUCUGAAUGGAAGGGCCAUCGCUCAACGGAUAAAAGGUACUCCGGGGAUAACAGGCUGAUACCGCCCAAGAGUUCAUAUCGACGGCGGUGUUUGGCACCUCGAUGUCGGCUCAUCACAUCCUGGGGCUGAAGUAGGUCCCAAGGGUAUGGCUGUUCGCCAUUUAAAGUGGUACGCGAGCUGGGUUUAGAACGUCGUGAGACAGUUCGGUCCCUAUCUGCCGUGGGCGCUGGAGAACUGAGGGGGGCUGCUCCUAGUACGAGAGGACCGGAGUGGACGCAUCACUGGUGUUCGGGUUGUCAUGCCAAUGGCACUGCCCGGUAGCUAAAUGCGGAAGAGAUAAGUGCUGAAAGCAUCUAAGCACGAAACUUGCCCCGAGAUGAGUUCUCCCUGACUCCUUGAGAGUCCUGAAGGAACGUUGAAGACGACGACGUUGAUAGGCCGGGUGUGUAAGCGCAGCGAUGCGUUGAGCUAACCGGUACUAAUGAACCGUGAGGCUUAACCUU
Molecule: ribosomal RNA, 2904 nt
Filed under: Escherichia coli
Lineage: Bacteria; Pseudomonadati; Pseudomonadota; Gammaproteobacteria; Enterobacterales; Enterobacteriaceae
Description: bacterial LSU rRNA
Rfam family: Bacterial large subunit ribosomal RNA
Source: RNAcentral